Molecule: ribosomal RNA, 429 nt
Filed under: Bacteroidota bacterium
Lineage: Bacteria; Pseudomonadati; Bacteroidota
Description: Bacteroidetes bacterium partial 16S ribosomal RNA
Rfam family: Bacterial small subunit ribosomal RNA
Source: RNAcentral
UAGGGAAUCUUCCGCAAUGGACGCAAGUCUGACGGAGCAACGCCGCGUGAGUGAAGAAGGAUUUCGGUUCGUAAAACUCUGUUGUUAGUGAAGAACAGCGCAUAGAGUAACUGUUAUGCGUGUGACGGUAUCUAACCAGAAAGCCACGGCUAACUACGUGCCAGCAGCCGCGGUAAUACGUAGGUGGCAAGCGUUGUCCGGAUUUAUUGGGCGUAAAGCGAGCGCAGGCGGUCAAUUAAGUCUGAUGUGAAAGCCCCCGGCUCAACCGGGGAGGGUCAUUGGAAACUGGUUGACUUGAGUGCAGAAGAGGAGAGUGGAAUUCCAUGUGUAGCGGUGAAAUGCGUAGAUAUAUGGAGGAACACCAGUGGCGAAGGCGACUCUCUGGUCUGUAACUGACGCUGAGGCUCGAAAGCGUGGGUAGCAAACAGG